CGGGGCGUAGUAUAAUGGUAGUACGCGAGGCUGGGGGUCUUGCAGCUUGGGUCCGAUUCCCAACGCCCCGACCA
RNAcentral lists this transfer RNA (74 nucleotides) under bacterium. RNAcentral describes it as "tRNA-Pro". It matches the Rfam family "tRNA". From Rfam's summary of the family: Transfer RNA (tRNA) molecules are approximately 80 nucleotides in length. Their secondary structure includes four short double-helical elements and three loops (D, anti-codon, and T loops). The record is from RNAcentral.